RNAcentral lists this long non-coding RNA (4002 nucleotides) under Xyrichtys novacula (pearly razorfish). Lineage: Eukaryota; Metazoa; Chordata; Actinopteri; Labriformes; Labridae. The record is from RNAcentral.
GUUAUGAUCUAAUAAUGAAGGGCACAGCAGCAGGGUUACAGUAAGUGGUAAAUGGAUGUCUGUGUGAUCAGGGGACGUUCUUCUUCACUCACAGAGACAAACACUUGUCAUUUCCUGUAAAUAUGAAGGGGAGGAGACACCUGACAAUAAAACAAUAAAAGUAAAAGUGUUCACAGUUCAGACUUCAGAGUGAGUCAGCACAGAGAGAAACAAGGACACUUGUAACAGGGUGAGUGUUAAUUCAGUGUUACUGUUUGGUUUUCAGAGUCUGUCGUUCAUCAGAAGUGGGUUUUUUUUACACUUAAAAAAGCUAAGCAGAGAAAAUUGAUCAGAUAUGUUGUUGGAUUAAUUCCUCGUCCAGUAAACUGUGAGUGUGCUGUUCUUCCUGUUUCUCUGCCUUUGGUGAGAUGAGCCCAAAAUCACCCUUCAUAUUUUUGUGAACUUUAACAGACUUCACCGAUUAUCUUUACACUGUGAGUCAGACAAGAAAUCCAAACUAAUGCUGUGUAAACUGAUCAAACAGGUGAUUUCAAACUCUGACAGACCCUCCAACUUUCUGUCAGGAUUCACUUCUCUGAGCUCACAGCCAUCAUUACUGCUUUUUCAGACUCAGAGGACUUUAGGAGAGAACAGGUCUGGAUGUUUGGUAUUAAAGUUUGUAGUCAAAGUUUCUCAGAUACUGUAAUAACACCUGAAACCUCUAACCAACAUUAUCACUUAAUACAGCCACAAUAAAACAACUGAAGGUGACCAAAGGUUGUUUUUCAAACACUGUAAAGAUAUUCAUGCUGUUGUUUUAUCUUCUAUUCGACCAUAAAGCUGGUCCAAAGUACUUUUAUUGCUGUUAAAUAUCAGCCUAUCAGUUUAUAUUCAAGGUCCAAAGUCUUAUGAAUGAACAGGAUUCAGUGCAGGACUGUAACAGAUCAGGACAAUAAAUGAAUCAUUUACAGAAAAAGACAAGAGUCAUUAGAGGUCAAACAAACCCCAAAGAGAUGAGGAACUAAAUACUACUGACUGAAUAAUACAUUUAAUAACUUCUGAAGGACUGAUCAUAAUGAACCAGAGUCUACUAUUACUACAGUAUGGGUUUAGUUAAUGUUACUGAUGUUUUUUUCUUGUGUUGAAUGAAGUCUGAAUUUCCUGAGUUUUAGGAUCAGAGCAGAAAAUCACCUCAUUCCCAGAGUCCGGCCAAAAAAACGUUAAAUUUAUGUUCCUCUGUGUUUGAACCAGAGACAUUCAGCUUUUACAGUAAAUGACUGUAAAGAGUCAAAUUAAAGUCCAAAACAGCUUUGUUUUCUGUAACCGGUUAAAAAGAAGAAUCAGUCAAGAAUAAAACAAUCAAUGAACAUGAACAAUACUUGAUAAUACAGAAGAUUGUAAAGAAAUGUGAUUUCAGACUCUUUGACUCGAUCAUAUUAGACUGGAUAAGAAAUAACCAAUCAGGACCUUUAUGAUUUAAAAUAAGAGGUAGUGUGCAGACAGAUCUUUGACAUAAUGAGAUGUAGAAACUUGAUCAUCUUCAUCUUCACUCUCUUCCUGUUUGUGUCUCACCUGUUUGUCUUCUUUGUCCUCAGGUUGUAUAACUCGGUUUCAUCUUCCAUAAAUUUGCUCAACAUCAGAUGGAGAAGAUGAGUGAUGGUGUCCAGGAAGAGGAGGGCAGAGCAACGUCUGUCAUGUCCGACUGUCUGUCUAUGAAGAGUGACCGGUCAAAAGGUCAACCACUGAACUUCAGUAAAGAACCAGGACCCUCAGAGGAGGGCGGAGCAAAGUCUGUCAGGUUAGACUGUCUGUCUAUGAAGAGCGACUUGUCUAAAGGUGAACCACUGCACUUCAGUAAAGAACCAGGACCCCCAGAUUCACAGUAAGAGAAACACUUUUUAACCUCCAAACUCUUAAACAGUAAUUUAUGAUGCUCUAAAUUCUGACCCCUCUGUUUUCUACCAUGGUGAGAAAAAUGAUCUUAAACGCUGAUUUUCCUGUUGAAAGUCACUGAGCACAGAUUUACUUAUUUCUAAUGUUUAUAAAAAUGAAGGUGGUAUAAAACAGCAUUUGAAGAGGAUUCUGACCUCUGUAUUUUCUGAUUUGGUUCCUGUGUUUGGGACGUUUUGAGCCUGUUAGUCUUUGGACUGUGGUGUAUAGACCCCAGAAAACAGUCUGAGGGUCAGAAAAUACCAGAAGACCAAAGAAGAAAUAAAUCCUGAGAAAUAAAAACUCAUUCAAACAUCUGUCUGUUAUUAGACCUUUAGAUCUGAUUGUUAAAAAAAUGUUUGAAACUGUCAGAGAAAAUCUCUCGACCUUCAAAAAUCACAGUUUGGUUUUUUCUCCUGUCUCCACACUUUGAGGCAGCAGCAGCUGAAUAUUUUACUGUUUUAUGUUCGAGAAAAGAGAAACUCUGGUUUAAUAAAUGUUUCUUAUUCUGAAUCUUUCAAACAUGAAAUGAUAAAGAAAAUAAAUGUUCUUUAUUUCCACAGAGAGACACAGAGAUGUGACUCUGUGGAGGAGCAGCUGUCCAGCUCUGAUGGAAGUAAGUCUGAACAUCUGUCCUCUAAAGUCUGUGUGGAUGAAAACUCAGCUGACUGAUUUUCACAAAGACGUUUUAGUGUUGAGAAGUUUGGUUCAUUUUAUUUUUCUUCUCUUUCAGAAGAUGGUGGUCUGCAGGAGGUUUUAGAUGAACAUAAGAUCAGUCUGAAGAGGAGAUGUGAACGUGUGAAUGAAGGAAGUGAUGAAACAGGAAGUAGUCAAACCCUCCUCAACAGGAUCUUCACUGAGCUCUACAUCACAGAGGGACUGAGUGAAGAGGUGAACACCCAACAUGAGGUGAGACAGCUGGAGACAGCUUCAAAGAUGAAGACCCUCCAUGACACGCCCAUCAGGUGUCAUGAGAUCUUUCAAACCUUACCUGACCAACAGAAGAAGCUCAUCAGAGUGGUUCUGACCAACGGUGUGGCUGGUGUUGGAAAAACCUUCUCAGUGCAGAAGUUCACUCUGGACUGGGCAGAGGGUUUGGAGAACCAAGACCUCCAUCUGGUGGUCCUGCUUUCAUUCAGGGAGCUGAACCUGAUCAGAGAUGAGCGCUUCAGUCUUCUGAAUCUGCUCCAUGUUUUCCAUCCAACACUAGAGAAGGUCACAGCAGAGACGCUGGCUGUCUGUAAACUUCUGUUCAUCUUUGACGGUCUGGAUGAAAGCAGACUGUCUCUGGAUUUCACAGACUCUGAGGUGGUGUCUGACGUCACACAGAAGUCUUCACUCAACGUUCUGUUAACAAACCUCAUCAAGGGGAACCUGCUCCCCUCAGCUCUCAUCUGGAUAACUUCUCGACCUGCAGCAGCCAAUCAGAUCCCUCCUUCAUGUGUGGACAGGGUGACAGAAGUACGAGGCUUCACUGACGCCCAGAAGGAUGAGUACUUCAGGAAGAGGUUCAGAGAUAAAGAUCUGUCCAGAAGAAUCAUCUCACACAUCAAGUCCUCCAGGAGCCUCCACAUCAUGUGUCAGAUCCCGGUCUUCUGCUGGAUCACUGCGACAGUUCUGGAGGACAUGAUGAUCAGAGAGCAGAGAGGAGAACUGCCCAAGACCCUGACUGACAUGUACUCACACUUCCUGCUGGUCCAGACUAAGAGGAAGAAGCAGAAGUAUGAAGGAGGACAUGAGACAAGUCCUCAGGAGCUGACGAAGGCUGACAGAGAAGUCCUCCUGAAGCUGGGGAGGCUGGCCUUUGAACAUCUGGAGAGAGGAAACAUCAUGUUCUACCAAGAAGACCUGGAGCGGUGUGGUCUGGAUGUCUCAGAGGCCUCGGUGUACUCAGGAGUUUGUACAGAGAUCUUCAGAAGAGAGAGUGUGAUCUUCCAGAAAACUGUUUACUGUUUCGUUCAUCUGAGCGUUCAGGAGUUUCUGUCUGCAGUCUACAUGAUCCACAGUUUCACAAACAGGAACACAGAAGCUCUGGAGACUUUCCUAAACACAGAAGAUCUGAAGACUUUCCUAAGAGACAACAAACACAAAGAC